GGGCCCGCACAAGCGGUGGAGUAUGUGGUUUAAUUCGAUGCAACGCGAAGAACCUUACCAGGGUUUGACAUCCUGCGAAUCUCUUGGAAACGAGAGAGUGCCUUCGGGAACGCAGUGACAGGUGGUGCAUGGCUGUCGUCAGCUCGUGUCGUGAGGUGUUGGGUUAAGUCCCGCAACGAGCGCAACCCCUAUCUUUAGUUGCCAGCAUUUAGUUGGGCACUCUAGAGAGACCGCCGGUGAUAAACCGGAGGAAGGUGUGGAUGACGUCAAGUCAUCAUGCCCCUUACAUCCUGGGCUACACACGUACUACAAUGCUACGGACAAAGAGCAGCAAGUUCGCGAGGACAAGCAAAUCUCAUAAACCGUGGCUCAGUUCAGAUCGUAGGCUGCAACUCGCCUACGUGAAGGAGGAAUC
RNAcentral lists this ribosomal RNA (415 nucleotides) under uncultured bacterium. Its description in RNAcentral is "bacterial SSU rRNA". It matches the Rfam family "Bacterial small subunit ribosomal RNA", at positions 917 to 1333 of the family's 1533-position model. The record is from RNAcentral.